ACACAUGCAAGUCGAGGGGCAGCGGAGAGGUAGCAAUACCUCUGUCGGCGACCGGCGCACGGGUGAGUAACACGUAUGCAAUCCACCUGUAACAGGGGGAUAACCCGGAGAAAUCCGGACUAAUACCCCAUAAUAUGGGCUCUCCGCAUGGAGGGCUCAUUAAAGAAAGCAAUUUUGGUUACAGACGAGCAUGCGCUCCAUUAGCCAGUUGGCGGGGUAACGGCCCACCAAAGCGACGAUGGAUAGGGGUUCUGAGAGGAAGGUCCCCCACAUUGGAACUGAGACACGGUCCAAACUCCUACGGGAGGCAGCAGUGAGGAAUAUUGGUCAAUGGUCGGCAGACUGAACCAGCCAAGUCGCGUGAGGGAAGACGGCCCUACGGGUUGUAAACCUCUUUUGUCGGAGAGUAAAGUACGCUACGUGUAGCGUAUUGCAAGUAUCCGAAGAAAAAGCAUCGGCUAACUCCGUGCCAGCAGCCGCGGUAAUACGGAGGAUGCAAGCGUUAUCCGGAUUUAUUGGGUUUAAAGGGUGCGUAGGCGGCACGCCAAGUCAGCGGUGAAAUUUCCGGGCUCAACCCGGACUGUGCCGUUGAAACUGGCGAGCUAGAGUGCACAA
Molecule: ribosomal RNA, 615 nt
Filed under: uncultured bacterium
Lineage: Bacteria
Description: bacterial SSU rRNA
Rfam family: Bacterial small subunit ribosomal RNA
Source: RNAcentral